This 353-nucleotide ribosomal RNA is filed under the name uncultured bacterium. Its description in RNAcentral is "partial 16S ribosomal RNA". It matches the Rfam family "Bacterial small subunit ribosomal RNA", at positions 338 to 708 of the family's 1533-position model. The record is from RNAcentral.
CCUACGGGAGGCAGCAGUAGGGAAUAUUGCGCAAUGGGGGAAACCCUGAAGCAGCAACGCCGCGUGGAGGAUGAAGGUCUUCGGAUUGUAAACUCCUGUUGUUAGAGAAGAUAAUGACGGUAUCUAACGAAUAAGCACCGGCUAACUCCGUGCCAGCAGCCGCGGUAAUACGGAGGGUGCAAGCGUUAGUCGGAAUCACUGGGCGUAAAGGGCGCGUAGGCGGGAUAGCAAGUCAGAUGUGAAAUCCCAUGGCUUAACCAUAGAACUGCAUUUGAAACUGUUAAUCUAGAGUAUGGGAGAGGAAGGUGGAAUUCUUGGUGUAGGGGUAAAAUCCGUAGAGAUCAAGAGGAAUA